UGGCCCUCCAGAUGUUACUAAACUACAACUUCCAUCCGCCCUAGAAAGAAGGGUCAAUGGUGAGGCACGAUUGGAGUUGUAGUUUAGUAAUAUCUGGUGGGCCA
This is a non-coding RNA of Podarcis lilfordi (Lilford's wall lizard), 104 nucleotides long. The record is from the annotation of a GenBank genome assembly. Lineage: Eukaryota; Metazoa; Chordata; Lepidosauria; Squamata; Lacertidae.